UACGAGGGGGGCAAAUGUUGUUCGGAAUCACUGGGCGUAAAGGGUGCGUAGGCGGUCUUCUAAGUUGGAUGUUUAAACCCGGGGCCCAACCCCGGAUCGGCAUCCAAAACUGGAAGUCUUGAAUAGUGGAGAGGACGGCGGAAUUGGGGGUGUAGCGGUGGAAUGCGUAGAGAUCCCCAAGAACACCAGUUGCGAAGGCGGCCGUCUGGACACAUAUUGACGCUGAGGCUCGAAAGCAUGGGGAGCAAACAGG
Molecule: ribosomal RNA, 253 nt
Filed under: uncultured bacterium
Lineage: Bacteria
Description: partial 16S ribosomal RNA
Rfam family: Bacterial small subunit ribosomal RNA
Source: RNAcentral